UACGUAGGGUGCAGGCGUUAAUCGGAAUUACUGGGCGUAAAGCGUGCGCAGGCGGUUUCUUAAGUCAGAUGUGAAAGCCCCGGGCUUAACCUGGGAACUGCGUUUGAAACUACAAGGCUAGAGUGUGGCAGAGGGGGGUGGAAUUCCACGUGUAGCAGUGAAAUGCGUAGAGAUGUGGAGGAACACCGAUGGCGAAGGCAGCCCCCUGGGUUAACACUGACGCUCAGGCACGAAAGCGUGGGGAGCAAACAGG
Molecule: ribosomal RNA, 253 nt
Filed under: uncultured bacterium
Lineage: Bacteria
Description: partial 16S ribosomal RNA
Rfam family: Bacterial small subunit ribosomal RNA
Source: RNAcentral